GAGUUUGAUCGGUGCAUUGA
RNAcentral lists this non-coding RNA (20 nucleotides) under Arabidopsis thaliana (thale cress). The record is from RNAcentral. Lineage: Eukaryota; Viridiplantae; Streptophyta; Magnoliopsida; Brassicales; Brassicaceae.